Molecule: ribosomal RNA, 253 nt
Filed under: uncultured bacterium
Lineage: Bacteria
Description: partial 16S ribosomal RNA
Rfam family: Bacterial small subunit ribosomal RNA
Source: RNAcentral
UACGGAGGGUGCAAGCGUUAUCCGGAUUUACUGGGUUUAAAGGGUGCGUAGGUGGGUUGGUAAGUCAGUGGUGAAAUACUUUCGCUUAACGAAGGAACUGCCAUUGAUACUACCAGUCUUGAAUACAGUGGAGGUAGGCGGAAUGCGUCAUGUAGCGGUGAAAUGCUUAGAUAUGACGCAGAACACCAAUUGCGGAGGCAGCUCACUACACAAUCAUUGACGCUGAGGCACGAAAGCGUGGGGAUCAAACAGG